GUGGGGAAUAUUGGACAAUGGGCGCAAGCCUGAUCCAGCCAUACCGCGUGGGUGAAGAAGGCCUUCGGGUUGUAAAGCCCUUUUGUUGGGAAAGAAAUCCUAUCGGUUAAUAACCGGUGGGGAUGACGGUACCCAAAGAAUAAGCACCGGCUAACUUCGUGCCAGCAGCCGCGGUAAUACGAAGGGUGCAAGCGUUACUCGGAAUUACUGGGCGUAAAGCGUGCGUAGGUGGUGGUUUAAGUCUGCUGUGAAAGCCCUGGGCUCAACCUGGGAAUUGCAGUGGAUACUGGAUCACUAGAGUGUGGUAGAGGGAUGCGGAAUUUCUGGUGUAGCAGUGAAAUGCGUAGAGAUCAGAAGGAACAUCCGUGGCGAAGGCGGCAUCCUGGGCCAACACUGACACUGAGGCACGAAAGCGUGGGGAGCAAACAGGAUUAGAUACCCCGGUAGUCC
Molecule: ribosomal RNA, 450 nt
Filed under: uncultured bacterium
Lineage: Bacteria
Description: partial 16S ribosomal RNA
Rfam family: Bacterial small subunit ribosomal RNA
Source: RNAcentral